GAUGAACGCUGGCGGCGUGCCUAAUACAUGCAAGUCGAACGCAUUGUGGUUGAAAUGAUAUGAAGAACUUGUUCAGAUUUGAUUUUCAACAUUGCAAUGAGUGGCGAACGGGUGAGUAACACGUGGGAAACCUACCUCUUAGCAGGGGAUAACAUUUGGAAACAAAUGCUAAUACCGUAUAAUAAUUAAAACCGCAUGGUUUUAGUUUAAAAGAUGGUCUUGCUAUCACUAAGAGAUGGUCCCGCGGUGUAUUAGUUAGUUGGUGAGGUAAUGGCUCACCAAGACAAUGAUACAUAGCCGAGUUGAGAGACUGACCGGCCACAAUGGGACUGAGACACGGCCCAUACUCCUACGGGAGGCAGCAGUAGGGAAUCUUCCACAAUGGACGAAAGUCUGAUGGAGCAACGCCGCGUGUGUGAUGAAGGGUUUCGGCUCGUAAACACUGUUGUAAGUAGAAGAAUGACAUUGAGAGUAACUGUUCAAUGUGUGACGGUA
RNAcentral lists this ribosomal RNA (495 nucleotides) under uncultured bacterium. RNAcentral describes it as "bacterial SSU rRNA". It matches the Rfam family "Bacterial small subunit ribosomal RNA", at positions 28 to 477 of the family's 1533-position model. The record is from RNAcentral.